RNAcentral lists this ribosomal RNA (253 nucleotides) under uncultured bacterium. RNAcentral's name for it is "partial 16S ribosomal RNA". It matches the Rfam family "Bacterial small subunit ribosomal RNA", at positions 524 to 776 of the family's 1533-position model. The record is from RNAcentral.
UACGAAGGGUGCAAACGUUGCUCGGAAUUAUUGGGCGUAAAGCGCACGUAGGCGGCUUGGCAAGUCGGAUGUGAAAUCCCUCGGCUCAACCAAGGAAGUGCAUCCGAAACUGCUGAGCUUGAGUACUUAAGAGGAUCGCGGAAUUCCCGGUGUAGAGGUGAAAUUCGUAGAUAUCGGGAGGAACACCAGUGGCGAAGGCGACUUCCUGGCCUGUUCUUGACGCUGAGGCGCGAAAGCUAGGGGAGCAAACGGG